UGGCGGACGGGUGAGUAAUGUCUGGGGAACUGCCUGGUGGAGGGGGAUAACUACUGGAAACGGUAGCUAAUACCGCAUAACGUCGCAAGACCAAAGAGGGGGACCUUCGGGCCUCUUGCCAUCGGAUGUGCCCAGAUGGGAUUAGCUAGUAGGUGGGGUAACGGCUCACCUAGGCGACGAUCCCUAGCUGGUCUGAGAGGAUGACCAGCCACACUGGAACUGAGACACGGUCCAG
Molecule: ribosomal RNA, 235 nt
Filed under: uncultured bacterium
Lineage: Bacteria
Description: partial 16S ribosomal RNA
Rfam family: Bacterial small subunit ribosomal RNA
Source: RNAcentral